GACGAACGCUGGCGGCGUGCCUAACACAUGCAAGUCGAGCGGAGAUAUUUGGGAAGCUUGCUUUUUGGAUAUCUUAGCGGCGGACGGGUGAGUAACGCGUGAGUAACCUGGCCUAUACAGGGGGAUAACAGCUGGAAACGGCUGCUAAUACCGCAUAAGACCACAGUAUCACAUGGUACAGGGGUCAAAGAUUUAUCGGUAUAGGAUGGACUCGCGUCCCAUUAGCUAGUUGGCGGGAUAACAGCCCACCAAGGCGACGAUGGGUAGCCGACCUGAGAGGGUGAUCGGCCACACUGGGACUGAGACACGGGCCCAGACUCCUACGGGAGGCAGCAGUGGGGAAUAUUGGGCAAUGGGCGCAAGCCUGACCCAGCAACGCCGCGUGAAGGAGAAGGUCUUCGGGAUUGUAAACUUUUGUCGCCGGGAACGAUGAUGACGGUACCCGGGCAAGAAA
RNAcentral lists this ribosomal RNA (454 nucleotides) under uncultured bacterium. RNAcentral's name for it is "bacterial SSU rRNA". It matches the Rfam family "Bacterial small subunit ribosomal RNA", at positions 28 to 490 of the family's 1533-position model. The record is from RNAcentral.